GACGAACGCUGGCGGCGUGCUUAACACAUGCAAGUCGAACGGUGAAGCGAGUGCCUGCCCUCGUGGAUCAGUGGCGAACGGGUGAGUAACACGUGAGUAACCUGCCCAUCACUCUGGGAUAAGCACUGGAAACGGUGUCUAAUACUGGAUACGACCAACCCUUGCAUGGGGUGUUGGUGGAAAGAUUUAUCGGUGAUGGAUGGACUCGCGGCCUAUCAGCUUGUUGGCGGGGUAAUGGCCCACCAAGGCGACGACGGGUAGCCGGCCUGAGAGGGUGACCGGCCACACUGGGACUGAGACACGGCCCAGACUCCUACGGGAGGCAGCAGUGGGGAAUAUUGCACAAUGGGCGAAAGCCUGAUGCAGCGACGCCGCGUGAGGGAUGACGGCCUUCGGGUUGUAAACCUCUUUCAGCAGGGAAGAAGCGAAAGUGACGGUACCUGCGGAAGAAGCACCGGCUAACUACGUG
RNAcentral lists this ribosomal RNA (469 nucleotides) under uncultured bacterium. RNAcentral describes it as "partial 16S ribosomal RNA". It matches the Rfam family "Bacterial small subunit ribosomal RNA", at positions 28 to 507 of the family's 1533-position model. The record is from RNAcentral.